GGUAAUUCGGGUGAAGAAGACAUC
RNAcentral lists this non-coding RNA (24 nucleotides) under Arabidopsis thaliana (thale cress). The record is from RNAcentral. Lineage: Eukaryota; Viridiplantae; Streptophyta; Magnoliopsida; Brassicales; Brassicaceae.